Firmicutes bacterium CAG:110 is the source of this 84-nucleotide regulatory RNA element. It matches the Rfam family "ZMP/ZTP riboswitch aptamer (pfl RNA motif)". From Rfam's summary of the family: Previously known as pfl RNA. NCBI's taxonomy places the organism in Bacteria, Bacillati, Bacillota. The record is from Rfam.
UGGCUUCUGCGUAACUGACGGAUUCGCGGGUUUACACCGCAUGGGAGCGCAGAGAAAAGCCUGCCGACCGUCUGGGCGAUUCAG